Molecule: long non-coding RNA, 1333 nt
Filed under: Ailuropoda melanoleuca (giant panda)
Lineage: Eukaryota; Metazoa; Chordata; Mammalia; Carnivora; Ursidae
Description: lncRNA (ENSAMEG00000023598.1)
Source: RNAcentral
GACGCCUGCGCACUGAGCCGACCCGCCCUCGAGGCCCCGCCCCGUCCCAGCCCUCCGGCCGGAGUUCCCGGGACACGCUCGCCCCCUGCGGUCCUAAGCGUGCACUGCACCCCGCGGCCUCCAAAGCAUCCCGGUACCCCGCGCUCUGAGUUUGCCAUCUAAGCGAAAGGAAGCCAAUGGAGAGACUUUGGCUUAAGGAGAAGGCCCCCGGUACUGGUCACGGUCCCGGAGUAAGGGACUUGCAGAGGGCCUGUUCUCAGCCUGGUUUUGCCUUUCUCCAUACCAUCUGAGCACUGUUGGUAAUCUUUGCCUCCCCCAUGGCCGAGGCUCCUGGUUCCGCGUUCUUUCUCCACCCAAACUCAUCCAUCCCAGCUUAUCAGCCAUCAGCUGGUGUCUCACUCCCCGAGGGAGCUCCUCCCUGCCAGAUGUUGACAGCAGUCUGCCGCAGCCCCAAGAGAGCUCGGAAAGAAUCCACUGACCGAGCAAACACAAGCAGAGCAGUAACCCCUACGGGUCAGUGUGGAUAUGGCCGGACAGCAGCAAGGGCGCAGAAAUCCACGAGGAGGAGACAAGCCAAAUGUGGGCAUCAACAUUGGGUGGAAGGUUGAAGCGCUGUGAGCCUCCUUCUCAAAGGUGUACGAAUUGCCAAAUCAGUGGGAUUGGAAGAGGUUCUUCUUUCCAAGCAAGUGUGUGAAAGUUCGCCUGAUCACCUCCGUGCCUUUGCUCAGACGGUCCCCUCUGUCUAGGAUGCCUUCGUCUCUCCUCUCCAACUUGGGAACUCCAUGCCCUGCCUUCAGUCCCCUCACUCUCACAGCCCAUGUGUUCCCACCACUGAACUGAUGCUAAGGUUUCGUUGCCGUGUUCUGUGCCAUUUGCUGAAGGAGGGCACCUGUCACCUCCAUUCCCUGGCAGGGUGUAGCCUGGGAUUUAAGACCUAAUAGAGUCUGUACAGUCCAAUGAAAAUAUGAGAGCCACGUUUUGAUUUUUAAUUUUCUAGUAACGCUUAAUAGUUACUAAUUAAAUGUCACUUAAAAAGAAGCAGGUGAGGGGUGCCUGGGUGGCUCAGUCAUUAAGUGUCUGCCUUCGGCUCAGGGCAUGAUCCUGGCAUUCUGGGAUCAAGCCCCACAUCAGGCUCCUCCACUGGGAGCCUGCUUCUUCCUCUCCCACUCCCCCUGCUUGUGUUCCCUCUCUUGCUGGCUGUCUCUCUGUCAAAUAAAUAAAAUCUUAAAAAAAAAAAAAAGAAACAGGUGAAAUUACUUACAAUAAUGUACUGUAGCCAAUAAUAAGAUAACCAGCUGUCCUGGUUUGCCCAGGACCAAGCAGUUCUCUGGGC